This 464-nucleotide ribosomal RNA is filed under the name uncultured bacterium. Its description in RNAcentral is "partial 16S ribosomal RNA". It matches the Rfam family "Bacterial small subunit ribosomal RNA", at positions 339 to 795 of the family's 1533-position model. The record is from RNAcentral.
CUACGGGGGGCAGCAGUGGGGAAUAUUGCACAAUGGGCGCAAGCCUGAUGCAGCCAUGCCGCGUGUAUGAAGAAGGCCUUCGGGUUGUAAAGUACUUUCAGCGGGGAGGAAGGGAGUAAAGUUAAUACCUUUGCUCAUUGACGUUACCCGCAGAAGAAGCACCGGCUAACUCCGUGCCAGCAGCCGCGGUAAUACGGAGGGUGCAAGCGUUAAUCGGAAUUACUGGGCGUAAAGCGCACGCAGGCGGCUUGUUAAGUCAGAUGUGAAAUCCCCGGGCUCAACCUGGGAACUGCAUUUGAUACUGGCAAGCUUGAGUCUCGUAGAGGGGGGUAGAAUUCCAGGUGUAGCGGUGAAAUGCGUAGAGAUCUGGAGGAAUACCGGUGGCGAAGGCGGCCCCCUGGACGAAGACUGACGCUCAGGUGCGAAAGCGUGGGGAGCAAACAGGAUUAGAUACCCCGGUAGUC